RNAcentral lists this ribosomal RNA (446 nucleotides) under uncultured bacterium. RNAcentral describes it as "partial 16S ribosomal RNA". It matches the Rfam family "Bacterial small subunit ribosomal RNA", at positions 338 to 795 of the family's 1533-position model. The record is from RNAcentral.
CCUACGGGCGGCAGCAGUCGAGAAUCAUUCACAAUGGGGGAAACCCUGAUGGUGCGACGCCGCGUGGGGGAAUGAAGGUCUUCGGAUUGUAAACCCCUGUCAUGUGGGAGCAAAUUAAAAAGAUAGUACCACAAGAGGAAGAGACGGCUAACUCUGUGCCAGCAGCCGCGGUAAUAAAGAGGUCUCAAGCGUUGUUCGGAAUCACUGGGCGUAACGCGUGCGUAGGCUGUUUCGUAAGUCGUGUGUGAAAGGCGCGGGCUCAACCCGCGGACGGCACAUGAUACUGCGAGACUAGAGUAAUGGAGGGGGAACCGGAAUGCUCGGUGUAGCAGUGAAAUGCGUAGAUAUCGAGAGGAACACUCGUGGCGAAGGCGGGUUCCUGGACAUUAACUGACGCUGAGGCACGAAGGCCAGGGGAGCGAAAGGGAUUAGAUACCCCUGUAGUC